RNAcentral lists this ribosomal RNA (172 nucleotides) under Encrasicholina punctifer (buccaneer anchovy). RNAcentral describes it as "partial small subunit ribosomal RNA". Lineage: Eukaryota; Metazoa; Chordata; Actinopteri; Clupeiformes; Engraulidae. The record is from RNAcentral.
CACCGCGGUUAUACGAGAGACCCUAGUUGAUCUCAACGGCGUAAAGAGUGGUUAUGGAGUUUUUUUACUAAAGUGGAAGACCCCUCAAACUGUUAUACGCACCCGGGGGUUAGAACCCCUUACACGAAAGUAGCUUUAUUAGUGUCCACCAGAACCCACGAAAGCCAGGGUA